AGGGGCGUGGCUCAGUGGUUAGGGUAUUCGAUUCACGAUCGUAAGGUCGUGGGUUCAAUUCCCGGCGACGCGU
Molecule: non-coding RNA, 73 nt
Organism: Octopus bimaculoides (California two-spot octopus)
Lineage: Eukaryota; Metazoa; Mollusca; Cephalopoda; Octopoda; Octopodidae
Source: Rfam